Molecule: unclassified non-coding RNA, 235 nt
Filed under: Rhizophagus sp. (in: glomeromycetes)
Lineage: Eukaryota; Fungi; Glomeromycota; Glomeromycetes; Glomerales; Glomeraceae
Description: Rhizophagus sp. (in: Fungi) partial contains 5.8S ribosomal RNA and internal transcribed spacer 2
Rfam family: 5.8S ribosomal RNA (bases 1-65)
Source: RNAcentral
GUGAAUCAUCAAAUCUUUGAACGCAAAUUGCACUCUCUUCGGAGAGUAUGCCUGUUUGAGGGUCAGUAUUAAUAAAAAUCGGCGUGUUGCUCCUUUGUGACGCUCCGGAGUUUGGGUCAUCUUAUAACAACAUCCUUUCAGAGUAUUUUUAAGUGGACUAAAAUUGACCUUUUUUGUUCAUUUUAGACGCUUAUAAAUUUUUUUUUAUUUGUCUACCUUAAUUCCUAAAUCUUGU